Molecule: long non-coding RNA, 1712 nt
Organism: Strigops habroptila (Kakapo)
Lineage: Eukaryota; Metazoa; Chordata; Aves; Psittaciformes; Psittacidae
Source: Ensembl
AGCAGGUGUGUUUUCACUCAGAGGAAGCAGCUACAGAUUUGAAAAUGACUUAGCAGCUGGUGAAAAAGAAGACUGAAGCUGUGCCAGACGAAGUCUAAGGAAUCAAUGCUUAUGUGUAAAAUCUCCUGAGCACUUGUCUCUAUGGCAAAAAAAGGCACUGAUGCUAGAGAAAAUGAAUUUCCAAGGAAGGCAUUUCAAGAGCAAAACACGCUUUUUAUUUUGUUGAAACAACAGCAACAACAAGCUAUUGAAAGAACAGAGAUACUUUAUGGAAUACCUUAUGUACGCCAUAAACUAGUACAGACUUCUUCAGGACCCAGCACCGUGCCACACAUUCCCUUGGGACCACAGUUUAAAAGUUCUGGAAAAGGUUUAAACAUCUGACGUGAGCCACCUAGUGUCUGAACGAAUGGCGACAUUAAGAAGUUGAAAGAAACAUUUUAACCUCUUUCUAACAGCUGGUAGAAGCCAAUUUGUAUCUAUAAACUUAAAAUUGGAGAGAGGGAUCAGACCCAAACUUUACUGAAACACAGCCUUUUGGGAACUGCCACGCCUCGAGCCUAUCUUCAGAGCAAUCAGCACACUGCUAACACAUCAGUACAGACUAGGUAAAAUUCCUGUUAAAAUACCAUUUCAGAAGUAAAGUCAAUCACUAAACUGUAUACAGAUGAUGUGAGGUAUUUAAAUAACUGUUUGACCCACUCAGAGCAAACUUUCAAAUUUCCACUCUGAAAAAGUAUCAACUUGCUACUUCUCCCACACACACGCACAAAAAGUUUCUAAUUAUAAUUAAUCAAAAUAAGACUCUCUCAUAGUCUGAAGAUAAAGUGAAAUAAAAUAACCUACGUCUUCACCUCCAGACCCAAACUCUUGAUAAGUGGUUUGCAACUAGAUUACUAGAUUCCUAACUAUAAAUAAUUUUUAACUAUACUGAUAUAUACUUGUUCUUCCCAGUUAUCUUGUGAAGACUACUUAUAGAAAAGCAAUUCUGCCUUAGCAAUGACACAAAAACAUGAAAUAUUGAUAUGGGACAGAAAGUCAUUACUGGAAUAGCUGUAGGGAAGGAAAUACAGAGGCUGAAAAGGAGGGAGCAGAAAAAAAGUAAAGAAAAAGAAAGCAAGAUGAGGAAGAAAAGGACGAAAAAUAACAGAUUGUAAAGCAGAAACCACUCUAAAAGAUCCAAGUUAGAGAUCGAGUUAGCUACGCAAUAUAAGGUUUGUAUUAUUUUCGCAGGUGUUUUUCUUUUAUGUAACAAUUUAUUCAAAGGGUUGGAAGUCUCUAAGAAUGUCAGAGUGGGUUACUGUAAAGCUUGUAACAUACAUCUUUUUGUAUUUGGGAAGGAAAUGUAAAUAAAAACACACUAAGUAAUGAAUAUAGAGGAACGACCAGCUUCUUUUGUGCUUUAUUGUGAAAGAGUAUUACUGAUAAAUUACUAAGAGAAUAAUGCAUGUGAUUUGAAAAGUCAUGUUUGUAUAUUGUUGUCGGUUUUGCUUUGUCAGGUUUGAGACCUUCAAGCAAAUUUACAUUAAGUACAUUUCUAGAAUUUAAUAAACAAACUUUUGUUUCCUGUAACAGCUAGCAAUCAUAGUGGUUUGGAUUUGGCAUAUGUGCUCUAUAGUUAUGGCUCUAUUCAAAUUCAGGUAGCCAUAAUCUUAGUCAAUAAAUGUUUAUCAGCAGAUAACAGCUACUUGUACUUUUCUGCAUAUUACCCC